GCUUAAUUUCUUCCUCUCAACCUUUCCUAUUGAAAAGUCUCAAGCAUCUUGACCCCACACAGCGCAUUCUUCACAACAGUUGUUUUCAUACUCUGCCCCUUUCGACUUAGGAAUUCUCAGAGUUGCCCCACAGAGAAGAGAAGAGGGUGCUGCCCCUCUACUUCAAGCCACAGGAAGUCACUUCAAGAGGAACUUCAAGGACACCACUCAGAAAGCAUGAUAGCCCCCUGGAGUCUGGGAGACAUGUUAGCCUGAUGUCUGGCUCAUGCCCAGGAAACGUACAGGGUGAGGAACUGGUCCAAAGGCAGGAAACAGUCUAUGAAGAAAGAGAAUACAUUGGGAAAGAGUGGAUGUUGUAUUCCUCAUGGCCAUAGGUGAGCCACACGGGAGAGAAUCAACCAGGUUCAUCUUAAAAGGGACUCCUCCCAGAGGACUUCUUGACAAGGGUGAAGCAAUUCAGUAGACAGUGGAGUACACAGGAUACCUGACUGAGGGUGGAUUGUAAGAAGUGGUAUGUGUGCCUGAUAAAUGUGUAACAACUUUCUGGAGCGCUGAUUAGGGAUACUUCCUACACCAACAUACACCUGCUUAGAUGAAAUCUCUGCCUCAACUCUUCUUUCUCUCUGUCUCCAGCUCCUGAAGAGUUAAAUCCAAAAGAGGAAAUGAUCCAGAGCCCUGCUGAGAUCUCUCCACUGUUCAAGGUACUAAGGAGGGAAGAGUGAGAAAGUGUAGAUCUCAAUCCUUGCCCAAUUCCAAACAUGUUCAGCCUGUGCUGGAAGGAAAAUUUCUAUCAACAUGAGAUUAGAAUUUAAUAUAGAUUCAUCUAAGUUUAAUAAUAGAAAGUUUAGGAAGUUUUGGAAUCUUCCAAAUAAAUACUGAAAGUAUUAUAAAAG
Molecule: long non-coding RNA, 893 nt
Filed under: Felis catus (domestic cat)
Lineage: Eukaryota; Metazoa; Chordata; Mammalia; Carnivora; Felidae
Description: lncRNA (ENSFCAG00000049922.1)
Source: RNAcentral